UGAAAUGGUCCGGGCUAAAGAAAAGCUCUGAUUAAAUGGGGCUCAGAGCCCCGUCUGGCAAACAGCUGUGCUGAUAAAGUGCAGAGCACCUGGCACUGCAGCACGGGGAAGAAGAACAAGAACAUGAGCAGGAGGAGGAGGAGGAGGAGGAGGAGGAGGAGAAGAAGAAGAAAAAAGAGAAGGAAGAGAAGGAAGAGGAGGAGCAAGAGGAGGAGCAGGAAUUAAUAGCUGAAGCUGGGUGGGAUGGGAAUUCCCAAACUAGCAGCAUCGCUGUGUCUUUCUCCUGACAGUCCACAGCCAGAGCCUGAAGGAUGAAGGCACCUUGAAAAACAGUGGGAUAACAAGUUUGUAAUCCUUUUCAUGAAAUAAAGAAAUUGUUUCAUGGCAUCACAGGAAUAGGACUCUAUGAGGAUCUCCAUUGAAGUCACAGUUGUUUUUUUAAUUGGAGAGCUCUGCUCCAACCUCCUACCCCUCCAACACAGAUGUUGUACUCCAAAGGACAAAGGAUCUGUCAGAGACCUCCCUGAAUCUACCCAACCAGCCUUCCCAAGCCAGAAAUUGCAACUGAUUUUAGGAAGAGGAAUUUUACACUUGGUGCAUAUACACUUGUGCAUACACAUACAGAGAUCCAUACACUACGUGGUGAUUGUUACCUCUGCUGGUUUGGUCUUCAAAGUCCUCCACUGAGCAAAGCGACAAGAAUGUCCUCCAUGAAAAGAUGACUUUUUAAAAUAUUGAAGAAGCAAGUUUGCUUUGC
This 757-nucleotide long non-coding RNA is filed under the name Parus major (Great Tit). RNAcentral describes it as "lncRNA (ENSPMJG00000013649.1)". Lineage: Eukaryota; Metazoa; Chordata; Aves; Passeriformes; Paridae. The record is from RNAcentral.